RNAcentral lists this ribosomal RNA (121 nucleotides) under Sugiyamaella lignohabitans. Lineage: Eukaryota; Fungi; Ascomycota; Dipodascomycetes; Dipodascales; Trichomonascaceae. The record is from RNAcentral.
AGCUACGGCCAUAUCUCGAGAAACGCAAGAUUUCCCGUCCGAUCAAUCGUAUUUAAGCCUCGAAGAGCCUUUAUCAGUAAUGCCGUGGGAGACCAGGCGUGAACAAAAGGUGUUGUAGUUC